UUGAACUUUGACCUGACUUGUGCAGGAUAGGUGGGAGGCUUUGAAGCAGACACGCUAGUGUUUGUGGAGCCAAUCUUGAAAUACCACCCUGGUCAUGUCGGGGUUCUAACUCAGGUAUAACAAUACCGAGGACAAUGUAUGGUGGGUAGUUUGACUGGGGCGGUCUCCUCCCAAAGAGUAACGGAGGAGUGCGAAGGUAACCUCAGCGCGGUCGGAAAUCGCGCAGUGAGUGCAUAGGCAUAAGGUUGCUUGACUGCAAGACAAACAAGUCGAGCAGGUACGAAAGUAGGUCUAAGUGAUCCGGUGGUUCUGUAUGGAAGGGCCAUCGCUCAACGGAUAAAAGGUACUCCGGGGAUAACAGGCUGAUACCGCCCAAGAGUUCACAUCGACGGCGGUGUUUGGCACCUCGAUGUCGGCUCAUCACAUCCUGGG
RNAcentral lists this ribosomal RNA (432 nucleotides) under Oxyrrhis marina. Its description in RNAcentral is "partial Bacterial large subunit ribosomal RNA". It matches the Rfam family "Bacterial large subunit ribosomal RNA", at positions 2117 to 2551 of the family's 2925-position model. Lineage: Eukaryota; Dinophyceae; Oxyrrhinales; Oxyrrhinaceae. The record is from RNAcentral.